This 655-nucleotide long non-coding RNA is filed under the name Gossypium barbadense (sea-island cotton). RNAcentral's name for it is "long non-coding RNA (GBAR_LNC000873)". Lineage: Eukaryota; Viridiplantae; Streptophyta; Magnoliopsida; Malvales; Malvaceae. The record is from RNAcentral.
AUCACUGGCCAUAGAUUCGUACUUCCAUGCAGGUCCUAUAAGCCAAGACACUCUUGCUCCUCCAAGCAAGCCUCCUAGCUGAAAUUGCAAGUUAAGAUUUUAAGCAAUCUCGGUAGUAAAACUUUAAAUACAGGUAUACUACAAGUACACGUGUAAGAGGGACAGUAGUUAAGACUUACAUGAUCCCAAUCAUCAAUGCCACUUGACAUUAGUCUAAUAACCUGCAGGAUCCGCAUUCAUCUCCACUGAGCUCGGAAAAAAUAAGAGCAAAAGCAUUUGAUGCUACAAUUCCUUCUAGGUAAUCAUUGUAUCAAGCAGUAACAUAGCAGAAACUCUUUUUUUUUUAAUGCAUUUGAUAGGCUGUUUAGGGUUCCCAUACAUUGAGUAGCAAAAGCUUUGAAUCAUACCAUGUUUAGGAAAAUAACUUGUGCUAUGUGUUGCAGAUCUUCUUUGGCAUCUCUGAUCAUACCUCUAUGUCUCAUGACAAACACAGCAACAGAACCAACCUAGACAACCAAAAGAUUUACAAAAUGAGAAAAUUGAGGUUCUGGAAUAAAUAAAAGCCAAGUAUUUCAAGGCAUACAAAAAUUAGAUGGAAUAGCUUCAUACGAACAUUUAUCUUAUUCCGUGAAUAAGUUUGCGAGGACUUACCAAU